This 274-nucleotide ribosomal RNA is filed under the name uncultured bacterium. RNAcentral's name for it is "partial 16S ribosomal RNA". It matches the Rfam family "Bacterial small subunit ribosomal RNA", at positions 523 to 796 of the family's 1533-position model. The record is from RNAcentral.
AUACAGAGGGUGCAAGCGUUAUUCGGAAUUACUGGGCGUAAAGCGCGCGUAGGCGGCUGAUUAAGUCAGUUGUGAAAGCCCUGGGCUCAACCUAGGAACUGCAUCUGAUACUGGUCAUCUAGAGUUUAAGAGAGGGAAGUGGAAUUCCAGGUGUAGCAGUGAAAUGCGUAGAUAUCUGGAGGAACAUCAGUGGCGAAGGCGACUUCCUGGCUUAGAACUGACGCUCAGGUGCGAAAGCGUGGGUAGCGAACGGGAUUAGAAACCCUAGUAGUCC